GGGGAGAAUCAGAUGUAACUUUUUCUGUAGAUGUCCGUGGAUAUAUUAUUUGCCUGAUUCUGAGCACGUAUGAGAAAGUUAAACCUAUUCUAAGAAAUGACACUCGAA
This 108-nucleotide ribosomal RNA is filed under the name Oryza glaberrima (African rice). RNAcentral describes it as "rRNA EPlOGLG00000000699". The record is from RNAcentral. Lineage: Eukaryota; Viridiplantae; Streptophyta; Magnoliopsida; Poales; Poaceae.